GACGAACGCUGGCGGCGUGCUUAACACAUGCAAGUCGAGCGGAAAGGCCCUUCGGGGUACUCGAGCGGCGAACGGGUGAGUAACACGUGAGUAACCGGCCCCAGACUUUGGGAUAACCCUCGGAAACGGGGGCUAAUACCGGAUACGACACAGCUUCGCAUGGGGUCUGUGUGGAAAGUUUUUCGGUUUUGGCUGGGCUCGCGGCCUAUCAGCUUGGUGGUGGGGUGAUGGCCUACCAAGGCGACGACGGGUAGCCGGCCUGAGAGGGCGACCGGCCACACUGGGACUGAGACACGUCCCAGACUCCUACGGGAGGCAGCAGUGGGGAAUAUUGCACAAUGGGCGGAAGCCUGAUGCAGCGACGCCGCGUGGGGGAUGACGGCCUUCGGGUUGUAAACCUCUUUCAGCAGGGACGAAGCGUAAGUGACGGUACCUGCAGAAGAAGCGCCGGCCAACUACGUG
This 462-nucleotide ribosomal RNA is filed under the name uncultured bacterium. RNAcentral describes it as "partial 16S ribosomal RNA". It matches the Rfam family "Bacterial small subunit ribosomal RNA", at positions 28 to 507 of the family's 1533-position model. The record is from RNAcentral.